UGGGGAAUAUUGGACAAUGGGCGCAAGCCUGAUCCAGCCAUGCCGCGUGAGUGAUGAAGGCCCUAGGGUUGUAAAGCUCUUUCACCGGUGAAGAUAAUGACGGUAACCGGAGAAGAAGCCCCGGCUAACUCCGUGCCAGCAGCCGCGGUAAUACGAAGGGGGCUAGCGUUGUUCGGAUUUACUGGGCGUAAAGCGCACGUAGGCGGACUUUUAAGUCAGGGGUGAAAUCCCGGGGCUCAACCCCGGAACUGCCUUUGAUACUGGAAGUCUUGAGUAUGGUAGAGGUGGGUGGAAUUCCGAGUGUAGAGGUGAAAUUCGUAGAUAUUCGGAGGAACACCAGUGGCGAAGGCGGCUCACUGGACCAUUACUGACGCUGAGGUGCGAAAGCGUGGGGAGCAAACAGG
This 404-nucleotide ribosomal RNA is filed under the name Actinomycetes bacterium. RNAcentral describes it as "Actinobacteria bacterium partial 16S ribosomal RNA". It matches the Rfam family "Bacterial small subunit ribosomal RNA", at positions 355 to 776 of the family's 1533-position model. The record is from RNAcentral. Lineage: Bacteria; Bacillati; Actinomycetota; Actinomycetes.